AUAUAGAUGCAGGGGUGCCGUAAAGGCUGAGAGGAAAUUUUCUAACCCUUUGAACCUGAUGUAACUAAGAUUACCGUAGGGAGCAUUAUAAUGUGUAUA
This 99-nucleotide non-coding RNA is filed under the name Clostridium sp. Its description in RNAcentral is "TPP sequence". It matches the Rfam family "TPP riboswitch aptamer (THI element)". Rfam says of the family: Vitamin B(1) in its active form thiamin pyrophosphate (TPP) is an essential coenzyme that is synthesised by coupling of pyrimidine and thiazole moieties in bacteria. Lineage: Bacteria; Bacillati; Bacillota; Clostridia; Eubacteriales; Clostridiaceae. The record is from RNAcentral.